GUUCGCAAUAACAUACUGAUGAUAUUGGUAUAGAUUGGUAUCUAUUAGUUUUCCGACGUGCAUCGACAAACGUGUGACAUUGUUCUACGAUAUUGCAAUUUUACGUCAUUCAUAUAUGUGAAUAUAUAGACCUCGCGGUGUAUUAUCGUUUGUUCUUACCUAACUAUUAUUAUUAUUGUUUUUGUUUGUUUCAAGGUGUUUUUGUGCGCACAUCCGUAUUCAAAAAUGGUCAACAAGAGCGUUCUCAGUAUAAUUUCACUGCUCGCAGUUCUAGUCAUUUCCUUUACAGCGGCGCAUACUAUACAUGAAAAACAUGUCAUUCACGUUCCUCUGUUGGUACAUUACGUCCAUCAUCAUCAUCGGAAAAUUAUAAAACCACCCAGACAUAAAAUUAAAAAAACCAGAAAAUUUAUACAUCGAUAUCAUAGUUACUGGUAUUGAAAACUAAACUAUAUACAUUAUAAAAUUAAAAAUAAAAUACCCAAUUAUUGACUAAAUUUGAUUAUAAUUAUAUUUAACUAUUUUUAUUGAUGAACUAAGUAUAUGCACAUAUAAUAUAUAUAUAUAAUGCACAAAAUAUUAUAAUAAAUACAUGCAUUUAUACCUAUCCUUAGUAUACAUAAUUUGUAUAGUUGUAAAUCAUUAAAAGAAGGUAUAUCAAAUAUAAUAUUAUGCUUAACUUGACACUAUGAUUGUUGUUAUAGUAUACAUGUUAAGUAACUACAUUUAAACUUAACCAUUAUUGUUAUUGAUAUUAAGUUAUGAAAUGUGUUUAUAACUAACAAUUUAAGACGGUGUUUUUUUUUUUAUUUCAAUACAUUUAUUUUAUAUUAAACUACAUUAGUACAAGAUUGUGAACUGAU
Long non-coding RNA from Aphis gossypii (cotton aphid), 863 nucleotides. RefSeq lists it as uncharacterized. The transcript has 3 exons. NCBI's taxonomy places the organism in Eukaryota, Metazoa, Arthropoda, Insecta, Hemiptera, Aphididae. The record is from RefSeq and is a predicted model, not a curated record.